This 406-nucleotide ribosomal RNA is filed under the name uncultured bacterium. RNAcentral's name for it is "bacterial SSU rRNA". It matches the Rfam family "Bacterial small subunit ribosomal RNA", at positions 30 to 433 of the family's 1533-position model. The record is from RNAcentral.
AUUGAACGCUGGCGGCGUGCCUAACACAUGCAAGUCGAGCGGUAACAGGUGUAGCAAUACAUGCUGACGAGCGGCGAACGGGUGAGUAAUGCUUCGGAAUCUGCCCAUGUAGUGGGGAAUAACCAGCCGAAAGGUUGGCUAAUACCGCAUACGACCUACGGGUGAAAGCAGGGGAUCGCAAGACCUUGCGCUAUUGGAUGAGCCGAAGUCGGAUUAGCUAGUUGGUAGGGUAACGGCCUACCAAGGCGACGAUCCGUAGCUGGUCUGAGAGGACGACCAGCCACACUGGGACUGAGACACGGCCCAGACUCCUACGGGAGGCAGCAGUGGGGAAUAUUGGACAAUGGGGGCAACCCUGAUCCAGCGACGCCGCGUGUGUGAAGAAGGCCUGCGGGUUGUAAAGCAC